UCUCCGUCGCGCGCUUUCAAAAAGGUGAUCCCUAACCCCUCCAGCCGCCGCACCCCCCUCCCCCCCUCCACCCAAAAUCCCUAACCCCCUUCAGAUUCAAGAAGCCAUCUCCUUCCCCGACCAAGUCCUCCUCCUCAAAUUCCCCUCUUCCCUCCGCAUUUCUGACCUCUGCCUCUACUACUCUUUCUCCCUCUCCAUCACCGCAGGCGGCGGCCUCAUCCUCGGCUCCCCUCCUCUUUCCCCCACUUCUCUUUGUGGCGUCGAGAAGCAGCGCACAGAGAACAUAUCCGGCGAUGAUGUCUUCACCCGCCUCUUCGUCGCCGUCGAGUCCGACAUCGACGAUGCCCUCCAGGUCCUCCUCCUCUUUCUCCCUUCCAGGGUUUCUUUUUCUUGAUGUUUCCUUAGUGGCGCAUUUUUUUCUUUUCCCUGUUGUGUAGAAAUCGGAGAUGGCGGCCGAGGAGAAAAAUAGGGCGGUGGCGGUGGCGAUGAAUGCCGAGAUUCGGCGCACUAAGGCCCGGUUGAUCGAGGAGUUGGCCCUCAAUAAGCUUGCUGACCAACUAUACUGGGAGUAUGCGGAUCUGGCCGUGCCGGAUCUCCGGUGAACUCCACCUCCCUCACCGCUGUUCUCCUUGCUUGCCACGGAUUUAAUAUUCUCAGCCUUCUGACUUGAGAAGAGUGGCAGGCAGCCAAGCACGACAUCUAUUCGAUGGAAUGCUGAAGAGAGACAUAGUACAUACAAAAUUUUUGAUAGCAUUAUUGCAUGUUGAGUGGCUAUACUGGUAAUGAGAACAAGAUAGCUCUUCACUUUAGUACUGCCUUUUGGCCUAAUGUAGAAGUUUUAGGAAUGGUUGCUCCAACAUCAUAUGUCUGUGGCUAUUUUCUCAAUCUCCACAAAGCUACAGGACAUCCUGUUCUUAUGUACAUGGCUGCUGGAAGGUUUGCUCAUGACAUUGAGAAUCUAUCUGAUGAAGAAGCUGUUAACUUUGUGAUGCUACAACUUAAGAAAAUGCUACCAUAUGCCAUAGAGCCGAUAAGAUUCUAUCACCUGUAUUCAUUUGUAUUUGUGUUGUACUCCAAUGGUGAUUUUAGCUUCAGACUAAUUUUUUUAACUGUAAUUUUUCUUUUUCAGGUUCAGUAUUUGGUUUCUCGGUGGGGUACAGAUCCAGAUUCCCUUGGGUCCUAUUCUUGUGAUCUGGUUGGGAAGCUAGCUGAUUUGUAUGAGAGAUUUCGCACUCCUGUGGAUAAUUUAUAUUUUGCUGGGGAAGCAGCAAGUGUUGAUCAUUCUGGGUCUGUUCUUGGAGCUUAUACAUCAGGUAUCUUAGCUGCCGAAGACUGCCGAAGGCAUAUAUUAUUGCAGCAUGGUAUCUCGGAUCGUUUCCAGAUUGUAUUAAGGGAGGCAAUGUCAGAAAUGAUACCCUUCCAAAUAUCUAGGAUGUAGUUUAUUUUUUGCUGGAUCAAUAACGAAACCGUGUAUUAUCUGAGAAUAAAUGGAAGUAGAUUUUUGUUU
Molecule: non-coding RNA, 1507 nt
Organism: Phoenix dactylifera (date palm)
Lineage: Eukaryota; Viridiplantae; Streptophyta; Magnoliopsida; Arecales; Arecaceae
Source: RefSeq, a predicted model, not a curated record